Molecule: ribosomal RNA, 119 nt
Filed under: Triticum dicoccoides
Lineage: Eukaryota; Viridiplantae; Streptophyta; Magnoliopsida; Poales; Poaceae
Source: RNAcentral
GGAUGCGAUCAUACCAGCACUAAAGCACCGGAUCCCAUCAGAACUCCGAAGUUAAGCGUGCUUGGGCGAGAGUAGUACUAGGAUAGGUGACCUCCUGGGAAGUUCUCGUGUUGCAUUCC